UAAACAUCUAAAUAAUUUAUUAUAUCGGAUUCCAAACCAAUACAUGAAUAAAAAAAAGGCUAAAUAAUUGAGAUAAAAUUAUAAAAUUAAAUUCUUAUCAUCAGACUAGUACAUCAAGUGCAUUAGAUAUCUCACAAUUUAUUUUAUAAAGAUGUAAUACAUCUAAUCCACACAUCAAGAAUAAACAUGUGCAGCAGGAAUGUUAGGGAUGGUGGUGGGGUUAUGCCUUUUACUUGGGCCUUCUGGGGAUUGUCUUAAAAUAUGUCCAAUAUUACCAUAUUGAAAUAAAUGAUGGUGACUUCGAGUAUGAUCUCCUAACCUUUCUCGUGUGUUGUAAUAAACCUUAUGAGCAAAAUCUAUUGAGCUUUGUCUUCCAAAUUGAUCUACUUUUUUGGGUAGAAUGAAAUCACCAUUUACUUCGAGAGUUGUUGAGUGAAAGCGAGUUGCAUUUGUUUUGGCAUUGUUAGUAAACAAUACUAAAAGAGCAACAUUGAUCAAGAGGGAGGAAAUAAUUUGGUUGAACUUUGUCAUUUCUAUUAUGUAAUUAGAUUACAGUCC
Molecule: long non-coding RNA, 558 nt
Filed under: Lathyrus oleraceus (garden pea)
Lineage: Eukaryota; Viridiplantae; Streptophyta; Magnoliopsida; Fabales; Fabaceae
Description: Pisum sativum (pea) long non-coding RNA (PSAT_LNC009728)
Source: RNAcentral